This 520-nucleotide ribosomal RNA is filed under the name uncultured Glomus. RNAcentral's name for it is "SSU rRNA". It matches the Rfam family "Eukaryotic small subunit ribosomal RNA", at positions 569 to 1090 of the family's 1831-position model. Lineage: Eukaryota; Fungi; Glomeromycota; Glomeromycetes; Glomerales; Glomeraceae. The record is from RNAcentral.
AGCAGCCGCGGUAAUUCCAGCUCCAAUAGCGUAUAUUAAAGUUGUUGCAGUUAAAAAGCUCGUAGUUGAAUUUCGGGGUUAGUAGGUUGGUCGUGCCACCGGUAUGUACUGGCUCUACUGAUCCCUCCUUCUUGUAGAACCGUAAUGCCAUUAACUUGGUGUUGCGGGGAAACAGGACUGUUACUUUGAAAAAAUUAGAGUGUUUAAAGCAGGCUAACGCUUGAAUACAUUAGCAUGGAAUAAUGAAAUAGGACGCUCGAUCCUAUUUUGUUGGUUUCUAGGAUUGACGUAAUGAUUAAUAGGGAUAGUUGGGGGCAUUAGUAUUCAAUUGUCAGAGGUGAAAUUCUUGGAUUUAUUGAAGACUAACUACUGCGAAAGCAUUUGCCAAGGAUGUCUUCAUUAAUCAAGAACGAAAGUUAGGGGAUCGAAGACGAUCAGAUACCGUCGUAGUCUUAACCAUAAACUAUGCCGACUAGGGAUCGGAUGAUGUUAAUUUUUUAAUGACUCAUUCGGCGCCUUA